UACUUCUGAUAAUCUCCGUGUUUUGGGAGG
This 30-nucleotide non-coding RNA is filed under the name Mus musculus (house mouse). Lineage: Eukaryota; Metazoa; Chordata; Mammalia; Rodentia; Muridae. The record is from RNAcentral.